Molecule: ribosomal RNA, 25 nt
Filed under: Phrynosoma cornutum
Lineage: Eukaryota; Metazoa; Chordata; Lepidosauria; Squamata; Phrynosomatidae
Description: partial 16S large subunit ribosomal RNA
Source: RNAcentral
AAUUAAACCCGAAGAUAUACGGGCU